This is a long non-coding RNA of Mya arenaria, 488 nucleotides long. RefSeq lists it as uncharacterized. The transcript has 3 exons. Lineage: Eukaryota; Metazoa; Mollusca; Bivalvia; Myida; Myidae. The record is from RefSeq and is a predicted model, not a curated record.
ACAGUUUGGUUAUUUCAAGAGCCAACUUUCGUCAUGCAUGACUAUUUUUUAUGAAUGCAUGUUAAGCAAGCAAUCACUUCGUACGAAGUUGCAUACGAAGAUUUCUGCGACCGUUUUAUUAACGCUUUCGUACGUAAUUACUCUUCAAAAUGGGGAAGGAUCGGACGAAAAUGUAAACAAACCGUAGAUGCAAUCUUUUGAAAGAAAAGCUCAGUCAUCUGGGAUGCAGUGUUGCAGCACUGAAAAGCAUUGGGUGCCCAUCAAAGAGUGUUUCUCUUUGCCUGCAAUCAGGAUACAUCAACUGACCUUUGAACUGUGUUUUCCAACUUGGGAUUCAAACACAUGCCCUCUUGGGUAGGAGAAAGUCAGACAAACACCUGUGGCUAUAUCACUAUACUUCUUCAAGUCUUGCUCUAUGAGUGAUCAUGAUGUGAAAUAAAACAAAAUGCAGUCAUCUUUUUGUUAUAUUAAAUAAGUUAUGAACAAAU